Molecule: long non-coding RNA, 391 nt
Organism: Diorhabda carinulata
Lineage: Eukaryota; Metazoa; Arthropoda; Insecta; Coleoptera; Chrysomelidae
Exons: 3
Source: RefSeq, a predicted model, not a curated record
UUUUAAAUGUUCCACAAGAUGUCAAAUGUCGAAAUAAAUGGUUUCAAGUAGUGCACAGUGAUAAUCCCCAAACAAAAUCGAAUUAUUUUUAUUGUGAAGAUCAUUUCGAUCUGAAAGAUGACAUGACAUUACAUUUUUUAUACAACGAUGGGAGGUAAAGCAAAGAUUAAAAUUGAUGUGGUACCACACAAGUUUGACUGUCAACCUAAUCGUAAAAGACAAUUUUUUAUCAAUAUAAGUUUAAUAUGAAUAUUUUUAUAUAAAGAAACUACAUCUAAAGAGUGACUUCUAGUAGGGACUGUCCUCUCAACCAAUCAGGAUAAAGACAAAUAGUGGCUUCAACUUUCAUUUGCUUCAAAUUGAGCCAAUCCAUAAACCACUUCAAUGUACA